Molecule: ribosomal RNA, 425 nt
Filed under: uncultured Pseudomonadaceae bacterium
Lineage: Bacteria; Pseudomonadati; Pseudomonadota; Gammaproteobacteria; Pseudomonadales; Pseudomonadaceae
Description: bacterial SSU rRNA
Rfam family: Bacterial small subunit ribosomal RNA
Source: RNAcentral
GGGGAAUAUUGGACAAUGGGCGAAAGCCUGAUCCAGCCAUGCCGCGUGUGUGAAGAAGGUCUUCGGAUUGUAAAGCACUUUAAGUUGGGAGGAAGGGUUGUAGAUUAAUACUCUGCAAUUUUGACGUUACCGACAGAAUAAGCACCGGCUAACUUCGUGCCAGCAGCCGCGGUAAUACGAAGGGUGCAAGCGUUAAUCGGAAUUACUGGGCGUAAAGCGCGCGUAGGUGGUUCGUUAAGUUGGAUGUGAAAGCCCCGGGCUCAACCGGGAACUGCAUCCAAAACUGGCGAGCUAGAGUACGGUAGAGGGUGGUGGAAUUUCCUGUGUAGCGGUGAAAUGCGUAGAUAUAGGAAGGAACACCAGUGGCGAAGGCGACUUUCUGGUCUGCAACUGACGCUGAGGCGCGAAAGCAUGGGGAGCAAACA